This 253-nucleotide ribosomal RNA is filed under the name uncultured Ignavibacterium sp. Its description in RNAcentral is "partial 16S ribosomal RNA". It matches the Rfam family "Bacterial small subunit ribosomal RNA", at positions 524 to 776 of the family's 1533-position model. The record is from RNAcentral. Lineage: Bacteria; Pseudomonadati; Ignavibacteriota; Ignavibacteria; Ignavibacteriales; Ignavibacteriaceae.
UACGUAGGGGGCAAGCGUUGUCCGGAUUUACUGGGUGUAAAGGGCGCGUAGGCGGCUAUAAAAGUCAGUGGUGAAAUCCUGCGGCUUAACUGCAGAACUGCCAUUGAUACUGUAUAGCUUGAGUGCGGAAGAGAGAGACGGAAUUCCAGGUGUAGUGGUGAAAUACGUAGAUAUCUGGAAGAACACCAGUUGCGAAGGCGGUCUCUUGGUCCGUUACUGACGCUGAGGCGCGAAAGCGUGGGUAGCAAACAGG